This 690-nucleotide ribosomal RNA is filed under the name Streptococcus agalactiae GB00219. Its description in RNAcentral is "bacterial SSU rRNA". It matches the Rfam family "Bacterial small subunit ribosomal RNA", at positions 1 to 677 of the family's 1533-position model. Lineage: Bacteria; Bacillati; Bacillota; Bacilli; Lactobacillales; Streptococcaceae. The record is from RNAcentral.
AAUGAGAGUUUGAUCCUGGCUCAGGACGAACGCUGGCGGCGUGCCUAAUACAUGCAAGUAGAACGCUGAUGUUUGGUGUUUACACUAGACUGAUGAGUUGCGAACGGGUGAGUAACGCGUAGGUAACCUGCCUCAUAGCGGGGGAUAACUAUUGGAAACGAUAGCUAAUACCGCAUAAGAGUAAUUAACACAUGUUAGUUAUUUAAAAGGAGCAAUUGCUUCACUGUGAGAUGGACCUGCGUUGUAUUAGCUAGUUGGUGAGGUAAAGGCUCACCAAGGCGACGAUACAUAGCCGACCUGAGAGGGUGAUCGGCCACACUGGGACUGAGACACGGCCCAGACUCCUACGGGAGGCAGCAGUAGGGAAUCUUCGGCAAUGGACGGAAGUCUGACCGAGCAACGCCGCGUGAGUGAAGAAGGUUUUCGGAUCGUAAAGCUCUGUUGUUAGAGAAGAACGUUGGUAGGAGUGGAAAAUCUACCAAGUGACGGUAACUAACCAGAAAGGGACGGCUAACUACGUGCCAGCAGCCGCGGUAAUACGUAGGUCCCGAGCGUUGUCCGGAUUUAUUGGGCGUAAAGCGAGCGCAGGCGGUUCUUUAAGUCUGAAGUUAAAGGCAGUGGCUUAACCAUUGUACGCUUUGGAAACUGGAGGACUUGAGUGCAGAAGGGGAGAGUGGAAUUCCAUGUGUA